Molecule: non-coding RNA, 700 nt
Filed under: Pan troglodytes (chimpanzee)
Lineage: Eukaryota; Metazoa; Chordata; Mammalia; Primates; Hominidae
Source: RNAcentral
UUGUUUCCAGGGUGCUGAUCCUACUGGUGGAUCAUUCAGAAAGUUAAUCAGGUGCUCCUAAAAUGGUUUUUGGAACUUCCAAGUUCUUACUCAGAAUUCCAAGCCAUAGGAGACAGGUAUCUAAGGUGCCAAGCUGAUUCCAUUGUGCAAAAAAUUUCCUCUCUGAAGGGACGUACACAUGAAACUAAAAAAACAACAUGAUGGGGGGGUGGGCUUUAUACAAAGUUGAGUGGGGUGACAGUGGUAUAGAGGAAAUGGGACUUUGCAAUUAUAUUUUUCUAAGUGGUCUGAACUUGGUCUCACUACCCACAUCACCUGGAAUGGUUACCAGGCCUCAAAGGACUGCCCCACGGGCUAAACGGCUGAUCCGCUCUCUGAAGCCAGACAGUCUUAUCUGGGAGGUCCUUUACAGAUGCCACUGUUGAGGGCCGGAAGCUGAAGAGAGUGAGCUCCAUCCUCAAGUAGUCCUUUAUGCUCCUUUUGAACUAGCCUUGCUGUUCUGGGCCGUCAUUUGUGAUUUGGCCUGGAGUGUCUAGGCGUAAAAAACAAGGACCGUAGGCAUUAGACACAGUUAGACGUGUAAGUUCUUAAGGAGUGAAUGCUAUUUUUGUUUUCUUAAUCAAAAUAGUGACCACAAAGUCAAAUCUGAGAUUAUAAUUUACCUUGGUAAUAAAAGAUAAAGGAGAUUUACAAAAAACAA